UCUCAGACCACUGAAAUUACAAUAUCCUGAAAGAUUAUUAUGAAAUUUAGCCCAAGAAUGGCUAAACUG
Molecule: long non-coding RNA, 69 nt
Organism: Etheostoma spectabile (orangethroat darter)
Lineage: Eukaryota; Metazoa; Chordata; Actinopteri; Perciformes; Percidae
Exons: 3
Source: RefSeq, a predicted model, not a curated record